RNAcentral lists this ribosomal RNA (3369 nucleotides) under Pinus taeda (loblolly pine). RNAcentral's name for it is "eukaryotic LSU rRNA". It matches the Rfam family "Eukaryotic large subunit ribosomal RNA". The record is from RNAcentral. Lineage: Eukaryota; Viridiplantae; Streptophyta; Pinopsida; Pinales; Pinaceae.
CGACCUCAGCUCAGGAGAGAACACCGGUUGAGUUUAAGCAUAUAAUUAAAUGGAGGAAAAGAAACUUACAAGGAUUCCCCUAGUAGUGGUGAGUGAACUGGGAAGAGCCUCGCAUGAAAAAUAGGCAGGAACGUCACCUGAAUUGUAGUUUGUAGAAGCAUCCUCAGUGGCGGACCUAGGCCAAGUUUGGAAGGGGGCGCCUAAGAGGGUGAUAGCCCCAUUAGCCCGGAACCCUGCCGCAUCAUAAGGCAUUGUCAGCGAGUCGGGUUGUUUGGGAAUGCAACCCUAAUUGGGUGGUAAAUUUCGUCCAAGGCUAAAUAUGGGCGAGAGACCAAUACCGAACAAGUACCGCGAGGGAAAUAUGAAAAGGAAUUUGAAAAGAGAGUUAAAGAGUGCUUGAAAUUGCUGGGACGGAAGCAGAUGGAGGCUGUCGAUGUGUCUCGGUCGGAUGUGGAACGGCUCAGGCUCGUCCUUCACUUGACUUGAGAUGCAAACCAACACGAGUUGCUGCAUCGUCACAAGUGCGGCCAUAUUACUGCUUGUCGGUUUUCCACUACGGUGGUCGAGGAAUGAAGCGUGCACCCUUAUGGUGGGCCAUGUGCACCUGCACGCUCAUGGUGUUGGUUGGCGGGCAUUCCAUUCAACUUGUCUUGAAACACAGACCAAGGAGUCUAACUUGUGUGCGAGUUGACGGGUUUGAAAACCUGUGAGGCGCAAGGAAACUGACGAGCGAGAUCCCCUCUCUGGCGGGGUGCAUCUUCGACCGACCUUGAGCUUAUGUGAAGGGUUCGAGUGUGAGCACACUUGUUGGAACUCAAAAGAUAGUGAACUAUGCUUGAGCAGGGCAAAGCCAAAGGAAACUCUGGUGGAGGCUCGUAGCGAUACUAAUGUGCAAAUCAUUCAUCUGACUUGGGUAUAGGGGUGAAAGACUAAUAGAACCAUCUAGUAGCUAGUUUCCUCUAAACUUUCCCUCAGGAUAGUUGGAGCUCACGCAUGAGUUUUAUUGGGUAAAGCAAAUGAUUAGAGGCAUCGGGGGUGUAUUGCCCUUGACCUAUUCUCAAACUUUAAAUAUGUAAGUGGGUGCAGCUACUCCAUUGAGCUACACCAUGGAAUCGAGAGCUCCAAGUGGGCCAUUUUUGGUAAGCAGAACUAGUGAUGCGGGAUGAACCGAAAGUUGAGUUACGGUGUCGAAUUGUGCACUAAGCUAGAUCCCACAAAGGUUAUUGAUUGAUUAAGGUAGUAGGACAGUGAUCAUGAAAGUCGAAAUCUGCUAGGGAGUGUGUAACAACCCACCUUCCAAAUAAACUAGCCUUGAAAAUGUAUGGUGCUGAAGCACGCAACAUAUACUCGACCAUCGGAGCAAUUGUCUGGCUCUGAUGAGUAGGAGGAUGUGGGGGUCGUUGAGAAACCUCAGGCAUGAGCUUGGGUGGAUCAAUCCCCGAUGCAGAUCUUGGUGGUAGCAGAAAAUAUUCAAAUGAGAACUUUGAAGACUGAAGUGGGGAAAGGUUCCAUGUGAACAACACUUGGACAUGGGUUAGUCGAUCCUAAGAGAUGGGGAAGCCUUGUAUCAAGGGUGUACUUUGCACGAGCAUCGAAAUGGAAUCAGGUUAAUAUUCCCAAACUGAGACAUGGUGGUGGGCGGAAACACUAGGAAAUCCAGAGACGUCGUCGGGGGCCUUGGGAAGAGUUAUCCUUUUUUUUUAAUAGCUUGCCCACCCUGGAAUCGGUUCACCCAGAGAUAGGGUCCAGUAGCUGAAAGCACAUCUUGUAGUGUCUAGUGUGCCCUCGGUGGCCCUUGAAAAUUUAGAGGACCGAGUACCGUUCAUUCCCAAUCAUACUCAUAACUACAUCAGGUCUCCAAGGUGAACAACCUUUGGUCAAUAGAACAAUGUAAGUAAGGGAAGUCGACAAAGCAGAUCCAUAACUUUAGGAAAAGGAUUGGCUCUGAGGGCUAGGCCUAGGGGUCUGUGCCCUCAACUCAUGGGCUGUUGGUAGUCUGCCUGAGCUACUCUCACGGCCAGGGCGGGCAGUCACGUGCUGAUUGGGCUAUGGGCGUAGAAUGCCCCCUGCCGGGGGCUUUUCCCUAGGCGUCAAACAAUCGACUCAGAAUUAGUACGGACAAAGGGAAUCCAACUGUUUAAUUAAAACAAAGCAUUGUGAUGGUCCCUGUGGAUGCUGACACAAUGUGAUUUCUAUCUAGUGCUCUGAAUGUCAAAGUGAAGAAAUUCAACCAAGCGCAGGUAAACGACGGGAGUAACUAUGACUCUCUUAAGGUAGCCAAAUGCCUUGUCAUCUAAUUAGUGACGCGCAUGAAUGGAUUAACGAGAUUCCCACUGUCCCUAUCUACUAUCUCGCAAAACCACAGCCAAGGGAUCAGGCUUGGCAGAAUCAGUAGGGAAAGAAGACCCUGUUGAGCUUAACUCUAGUCCGACUUUGUGAAAUGACUUGAGAGGUGUAGAAUAAGUGGGAUCCAUUUUCAGUGCAAGUGAAAUACCACUACUUUUAACGUUAUUUUACUUAUUCUGUGGGGUGGAGAUGGGGAACUGCCCUUGUUUUUCACCUUAAGGCACAUUUUGGUGGGUUGAUCCAGGUGGAACACAUUGUCAAGUGGGGAGUUUGGCUGGGGUGACACAUCAGUUAAAAGAUAACAUAGGUGUCCUAAGAUGAGCUCAAUGAGAACAGAAAUCUCGAGGGUAAAAGCUCAUUUGAUUUUUAUUUUCAUCACGAAUACAAAUCAUGAAAGCGUGGCCUAUCGAUCCUCUAGGUUUUUGGAAUUUGAAGCUAGAGGUGUCAGAAAAUUUACCACGGGGAUAACUGGCUUGUGGUAGCCAAGCAUUCAUAGCGACGUUGCUUUUUGAUCCUUCGAUGUCGGCUCUUCCUAUCAUUGUGAAGCAUAAUUCACCAAGUGUUGGAUUGUUCACCCACCAAUAGGGAAUGUGAGCUGGGUUGAAACCAUCGUGAGAUAGGUUAGUUUAUCCUACUGGUGAACUGCACCGUAAUAGUAAUUCAACUUAGUACGAGAGGAACCAUUGAUUCACACAAUUGGUCAUCGUGCUUGGUUUAAAAGCUAGUGGCGCGAAGCUACCAUGUGUCGAAUUAUGACUGAAUGCCUCUAAGUCAAAAUCCACCCUAGAAGUGGUGCAUGUCACUCUUUUACUAUAUCUCAACCUGCAGUAGGGGCGUCGCUUUGUCACCCCCAGGGGCCCAUGUCAUUUGCAAACCACGACCAUGAAGCAUCUCAGUCGGGGCAGCUUUGAAGUUCAAUUCCAAACGGUUAUUGAGAAGAAUCAAUUUCAGAUGACUUAAAUAUGCGACAGGGCAUUGUAAGCGGCAGAGUGGCCUUCCUGCCAUGAUCCACUGAGAUUCAGC